UACGUAGGGGGCAAGCGUUGUCCGGAUUUAUUGGGCGUAAAGAGCGUGUAGGCGGUUUGGUAGGUCCGCUGUGAAAACUCGAGGCUCAACCUCGAGACGCCGGUGGAAACCAUCAGGCUAGAGUCCGGAAGAGGAGAGUGGAUUUCCUGGUGUAGCGGUGAAAUGCGCAGAUAUCAGGAAGAACACCCGUGGCUAAGGCGGCUCUCUAGUACGGUACUGACGCUGAGACGCGAAAGCGUGGGGAGCGAACAGG
RNAcentral lists this ribosomal RNA (253 nucleotides) under uncultured bacterium. Its description in RNAcentral is "partial 16S ribosomal RNA". It matches the Rfam family "Bacterial small subunit ribosomal RNA", at positions 524 to 776 of the family's 1533-position model. The record is from RNAcentral.